GACGAACGCUGGCGGCGUGCUUAACACAUGCAAGUCGAACGGAAAGGCCCUGCUUUUGUGGGGUGCUCGAGUGGCGAACGGGUGAGUAACACGUGAGUAACCUGCCCUUGACUUUGGGAUAACUUCAGGAAACUGGGGCUAAUACCGGAUAGGAGCUCCUGCUGCAUGGUGGGGGUUGGAAAGUUUCGGCGGUUGGGGAUGGACUCGCGGCUUAUCAGCUUGUUGGUGGGGUAGUGGCUUACCAAGGCUUUGACGGGUAGCCGGCCUGAGAGGGUGACCGGCCACAUUGGGACUGAGAUACGGCCCAGACUCCUACGGGAGGCAGCAGUGGGGAAUAUUGCACAAUGGGCGGAAGCCUGAUGCAGCGACGCCGCGUGCGGGAUGACGGCCUUCGGGUUGUAAACCGCUUUCGCCUGCGACGAAGCGGGAGUGACGGUAAUGGGUAAAGAAGCACCGGCUAACUACGUG
This 468-nucleotide ribosomal RNA is filed under the name uncultured bacterium. RNAcentral describes it as "partial 16S ribosomal RNA". It matches the Rfam family "Bacterial small subunit ribosomal RNA", at positions 28 to 507 of the family's 1533-position model. The record is from RNAcentral.